CAGUAUGCAUUGUGACACCUUGAACGCCGGGCUCUACUCCCUGAGUCCCCAGUGUCCACUUGAGAAGCCCAGCAUCAAGACUCGAGUGCCAUCCUCCUCAGCGACAUCAUGGAAAGGUCGUUCAUCGCGAUGACGUUGGUACUCAGCCUUCUGGUCGCUGCCGCCAUCUGUGAGCCCAAAAGUGCAGGUAAAGUGAGCAUUCUAGAGCUAUGUAAGCGGGUGAUGAUCGACUGCUCGACCAGACCGCCCCAUCUGUGUUGUCGCUACCACGGCAGCCCACAGACACCGCACCGUAAGCCUAUCACGGCCGGCUAGAAUCACCUGGCAUCCUACAGCCUCCGGAAGAAACUACACUGAAAUGAACUCCCUGUUCGAUGCAUAUUUUUCGGGCUGAUGGAUGUACAUGCAUAGGAAAAAUCGUCAAGCUUGAGAGGAGCCCACAACAGUUCGACUCCUUCUGCCCAUUAAAGCUUUUUAGCUACUUUUAGGCUGGAUUUUACAUUAUAUAUAUAUGGAAUGUGAAUGUCCCUAAGGCUCUGUCAGAUGUUUCGAAACAAGUUUGUUCUGCUCGUCUGUUUGUUAAAAAUUUGCUGGAUUUCCUCUUCUAGUUGUAAAUACAUUGUAUAAUCAUCAUUCUCUCUCUCUCUCUCUCUCUCUCUCUCUCUCUCUCUCUCUCUCUCUCUCUCUCUCUCUCUCUCUCUCUCUCUCUCUCUCUCUCUCUUCAGCAGUCAAGUUAUGCUUCGUCCCGAGGUCGGAGGAACGAAAAUUAGUCAUUACAUUUGUUUCAGUUACCCUCAAUUAUUUGUAAUGAUAAUGGUUUGUAAUAUGUCACUAGUGCACAUACACGUGGCUCAUUAUUGAAGGUUAUGCAAGUCUAAAGAUAUUUUUUGCUGCUUUGCCAGUCCUCAUUUAUUUAUUGUAAUUUGUAAAUCUGUAUAAUAAAUUAACACAAAUU
This is a long non-coding RNA of Procambarus clarkii (red swamp crayfish), 955 nucleotides long. RefSeq lists it as uncharacterized. The record is from RefSeq and is a predicted model, not a curated record. Lineage: Eukaryota; Metazoa; Arthropoda; Malacostraca; Decapoda; Cambaridae.